GAUGAACGCUGGCGGCGUGCCUAAUACAUGCGAGUCGAGCGAACAGACGAGGAGCUUGCUCCUCUGACGUUGGCGGCGGACGGGUGAGUAACACGUGGAUAACCUACCUAUAAGACUGGGAUAACUUCGGGAAACCGGAGCUAAUACCGGAUAAUAUAUUGAACCGCAUGGUUCAAUAGUGAAAGACGGUUUUGCUGUCACUUAUAGAUGGAUCCGCGCCGCAUUAGCUAGUUGGUAAGGUAACGGCUUACCAAGGCAACGAUGCGUAGCCGACCUGAGAGGGUGAUCGGCCACACUGGAACUGAGACACGGUCCAGACUCCUACGGGAGGCAGCAGUAGGGAAUCUUCCGCAAUGGGCGAAAGCCUGACGGAGCAACGCCGCGUGAGUGAUGAAGGUCUUCGGAUCGUAAAACUCUGUUAUUAGGGAAGAACAAAUGUGUAAGUAACUAUGCACGUCUUGACGGUACCUAAUCAGAAAGCCACGGCUAACUACGUG
RNAcentral lists this ribosomal RNA (497 nucleotides) under uncultured bacterium. Its description in RNAcentral is "partial 16S ribosomal RNA". It matches the Rfam family "Bacterial small subunit ribosomal RNA", at positions 28 to 507 of the family's 1533-position model. The record is from RNAcentral.